CUGGUGUACCAGUUGUCUUGCCAAAGGCAUCGCUGGGUAGCUAUGUGCGGAAGGGAUAAGUGCUGAAAGCAUCUAAGCAUGAAGCCCCCCUCGAGAUGAGAUUUCCCAUCACUUUAUGUGAGUAAGAUCCCUGAAAGAUGAUCAGGUAGAUAGGUCUGAGGUGGAAGCGUGGCGACACGUGCAGCUGACAGAUACUAAUCGAUCGAGGACUUAACCACAGU
RNAcentral lists this ribosomal RNA (221 nucleotides) under Rossellomorea vietnamensis. RNAcentral's name for it is "Bacillus vietnamensis partial 23S ribosomal RNA". It matches the Rfam family "Bacterial large subunit ribosomal RNA", at positions 2709 to 2925 of the family's 2925-position model. Lineage: Bacteria; Bacillati; Bacillota; Bacilli; Caryophanales; Bacillaceae. The record is from RNAcentral.